UCCUCCAGUAAUUAUUUCAGUCAUGGUGCGACACAGUUAACAUACAUUAAGAUUUUGCCUUUUCUACACUGAAAUACAUGGUGGUGAGGAAAAGAAAAAGAGCCCUGGGGCACAUGAGAGGAAGUUAGCUGGCACAUUCUGGGAGUGGCUCUGCAGUGACUCGGAGCUUCCAUUGGUGGCUGCUUUGUGACUACAAGAAAAUGAAUUGGUGGGUUCCUCUGAAAUCCCUCUAGGCUGGUAGAGAUGCUGUAGGCUGACUGGUAGCUCCAGCACACGGGGUGGCUGGGGCCAGAAAUGCCAUUUUAACUGUAAGCUGCUUUCACAAGUACUGCUGUGAAGAGGAAUCACCACGAUAUCCU
Oenanthe melanoleuca is the source of this 359-nucleotide long non-coding RNA. RefSeq lists it as uncharacterized. The record is from RefSeq and is a predicted model, not a curated record. Lineage: Eukaryota; Metazoa; Chordata; Aves; Passeriformes; Muscicapidae. The transcript is spliced from 3 exons.